Molecule: ribosomal RNA, 274 nt
Filed under: uncultured bacterium
Lineage: Bacteria
Description: partial 16S ribosomal RNA
Rfam family: Bacterial small subunit ribosomal RNA
Source: RNAcentral
AUACGGAGGGAGCAAGCGUUAUUCGGAAUCACUGGGCGUAAAGGACGCGUAGGCGGGUUAUUAAGUCGGGUGUGAAAUCCAAUGGCUCAACCAUUGAACUGCAUUCGAAACUGAUAACCUAGAGUAUGGAAGGGGCAGGUGGAAUUAGUGGUGUAGGGGUAAAAUCCGUAGAUAUCACUAGGAAUACCGAAAGCGAAGGCGACCUGCUGGGACAUUACUGACGCUGAGGCGUGAAAGCGUGGGGAGCAAACAGGAUUAGAAACCCCGGUAGUCC